AAACAGUAGCAAUACUGUUUCAGUGGCAGACGGGUGAGUAACGCGUAGGAAUCUACCCCUGGGUGGAGCAUAGCCGGCCGAAAGGUCGGGUAAUUCUCCAUAGUCUCGUAAGAGUAAAGGACUUAACGGUCCGCCGAGGGAGGAGCCUGCGUCCUAUCAGCUAGUUGGCGGGGUAAAUGCCCACCAAGGCGAUGACGGGUAGCUGGACUGAGAGGUCGAUCAGCCACAACUGCACUGAGACACGGGCAGUGCAUCUACGGAUGGCAGCAACCAGGAAUAUUGCGCAAUGGACGAAAGUCUGACGCAGCGACGCCGCGUGGAGGAUGAAGGCCUUAGGGUCGUAAACUCCUUUUACUAAGCCGUUCACAGCUUAGAGAAUAAGCCCCUACUAACUACGUGCCAGAAGUCUCGGUAAUACGUAGGGGGCAAGCGUUAUCCGGAUUUAUUGGGCGUAAAGUGUGCGUAGGCGUUCCAUAAAGUCUUCACUUAAAGACCAGGGCUUACCCCUGGAAGUGGUGAGGAUACUCAUGGAAUUGAGGAUUGAUAAGGAAGCUGGAACAGUUAGUGUAGUAGUGAAAUGCGUUGAUAUUAACUGGAACACCAAGGGCGAAGGCAGGCUUCUGUAUUUUUCCUGACGCUGAGGCACGAAAGCUAGGGUAGCGAAACAGAUUAGAUACCUGUGUAGUCCUAGCCGUAAACGAUGUCCGCUAACUCUCACUCGCCAAGAACAUAAGCAUAGUUUUGUGUUUUUUGCGAGUGGGGGUAUAAGCUAACGCGUUAAGCGGACCGCCUGGGGAGUACGGCCGCAAGGCUAAAACUC
This 820-nucleotide ribosomal RNA is filed under the name uncultured bacterium. RNAcentral describes it as "bacterial SSU rRNA". It matches the Rfam family "Bacterial small subunit ribosomal RNA", at positions 71 to 902 of the family's 1533-position model. The record is from RNAcentral.